CCUGAGAAACCCAAAAGAUCGAAUGGGGAGAUUCAUCGUCAGCGAUCCUGGCACGUGUGCGGUUCGUGAUGCUUGGGACUUCGGUCCCAUGGCACGCGUCCGUAUGGUAUUAUUGCCGGGUGUCGUCGGCGUGCACUUCUCCCCUAGUAGGACGUCGCGACCCGUUGGGUGUCGGUCUACGGCCCGGGUGGGCGCCUGUCAUGUGUCACGCUUCACGGCGUCAUGUGGCAGACCCCCGGUUGUCUGACCAGCUGCUCGGCGGUACUCGCACGGUAUCGAGCCGCAAACAUUCGAACUGCGUCCGGCCCGCCGCAAGCGAGGCCAGUGUUUCCCGGAUGUACGGACCUAGUGCCGUCACCGGGCCUGGCCAGCUGUUGGUUGGCGGUGUCCUGGGACUGGCUCUAAAUUAUGAUACUGGUCGGCGACGCUACUGCUUUGGUA
Molecule: ribosomal RNA, 441 nt
Filed under: Perilissus sp.
Lineage: Eukaryota; Metazoa; Arthropoda; Insecta; Hymenoptera; Ichneumonidae
Description: eukaryotic LSU rRNA
Source: RNAcentral